Molecule: long non-coding RNA, 1345 nt
Filed under: Salvator merianae (Argentine black and white tegu)
Lineage: Eukaryota; Metazoa; Chordata; Lepidosauria; Squamata; Teiidae
Description: lncRNA (ENSSMRG00000021063.1)
Source: RNAcentral
GAGCUGUUCCUGCUCCUUUUGUUUUGAAUCCUUCUCUCNCGAAAUACCAGUGCACUGGUUCAUUCAAUGAUGGGAUCCUUUCUUCAGUUGAUAUCACAUCAGGGAUCCCAGUUCCUUUUAAGACCUCUUCUGGAUUUGUCCUCUAGUUCUACUCAGGCUCCUGGCGCAGGCUCUCUGCCUCCCAUUCCUGUUUCUUCCGAGAUUCAGACCUGGGCAAAAGCUGGUCCGAGCCGUAAACAGAAGCUUUUGCAGAUACCCGUGUUUCAACCAACUUGUCUCAGCACGACGACAGUGAAAUCUUUUAUCUCUGCAUUUUUCCAUCAACCAUUUUCUGUGUGUCCCUGAACUAAUUCUGAAACAAUUCUGCUGGUUUCAUGUGAUCCCUGAGAAAAUUACACAUGAGACUGCUGCAAAGGUAAGGAGCUUUCAGGUAUUUAUUAUUAGUGCAAUAGCUAAAAAAUGAAUAACCCAUCUGAUCCAAAAUAAUUGAAAAGCAUGUGCUUUCAGGAUUUAGAUCUUUUCACUAAAACAUUUUAAAGUGUCAACAUAAAUUGUAACACAAAGACCCGAAUUACUCCUUAUGUUUUGCAUAGGGUUCUGAUGAUCCUGGGAAAUAAUUGGACUUUGGAGUAUAUUCCCAGACAUUAUGGCAGCUGCUAUUUCCUAAUUUCGUAGCAAGGAUCACCCUUCCCACUCCUAUUUCAUAUAAAUAUUCGGGACAGCCAUGUGGCACUAUGACUUAGACAUUUAAAUAUGAAAGUAUACACAGACUCCUUGGUCUAAGCAUCAUAGUAACAUGGAUAUGCUCUCAAAACAAAACGAACAUUUUAGACAAUAUCUAAUGGUAAAGCAGUUUCCAUAACCUCUUUGUUUUUAAACAUUUGAUCAUUUUACUAUAGACUAGGACCAAUAAUACACUCAUUUAGAAAAUCAGAUGGAAAACAAAAACAUCCUAACAUUGCCUUAUGAAGUCAUCCAAAAAUGUAUUUGAGCACAUAUAACAGUUAAUAAGGUAAGGUACAUUUUAACAGGUGACUAUAGUUGCAGGGAGAAAAUGAUGCCCUUGUCCUCUGAAACAUGCAGUGUUUGUGUUCUUGUAGAAAUGGCCUGACAUAGAUUUUAGUUAUAUUAUGUUGACAAGUUUUUAUUGUAAAUUAGUAUAUGCAUUAUAUAUUAGUAAAAUUGGUGUUACCCCCAUCUGGCAUUAUUUUCUUCCUAUGCUGCAGUUUUGAUGGUCCUCUGCACAAUAUGGUUUUUAAAAUAUUGAUUUGAUUUAGAUUUCUCUUUUGUUCAUUCUCUUUGCAUUUGGUUAUUUGAUAAAAAUAAGCCAUUAACGCUUCUAUUU